GCAGCCAUGGUGAAAUUGGUAGACACACUGCUCUUAGGAAGCAGUGCUCAAUCAUCUCGGUUCGAAUCCGAGUGGCGGAA
RNAcentral lists this transfer RNA (80 nucleotides) under Hordeum vulgare. RNAcentral's name for it is "tRNA-Leu". It matches the Rfam family "tRNA". Rfam says of the family: Transfer RNA (tRNA) molecules are approximately 80 nucleotides in length. Their secondary structure includes four short double-helical elements and three loops (D, anti-codon, and T loops). RNAcentral also lists the same sequence under 1 other name. Lineage: Eukaryota; Viridiplantae; Streptophyta; Magnoliopsida; Poales; Poaceae. The record is from RNAcentral.